UCGACUUUGAAAAUAAAAGUGCAGGGAUAGAGAAUUCAAACGCAGGUUUUUAUACUGGUUCGAUCAAACUGCCUACAUCCAGUGUUCUUCCAAUACCCGGAAGCAAAUGCACUAUAAUGAUCAGGGCUUUUACAACAAGGUUUCUAUAGCGACCUCUACGUAAAAAAAUAUAACACCUCUCUAAUCCUUUAACCAACAUAUAGGCAUAUACACACAAAGAGCAACAACAAGAUAUCCCCUCUCCUGCAAUCUUUAAUCACUUUGAACAAUCCUCAAAGUCCAGAACGCCACACAUUCUCUUACUGUAGUCACAACAGGGCAGCCACAAUCUUCACAAGAUUGAGAGAAAAAGUUGAUCACGUAUCAGACACCUCAAUGUGCAGGUUGUUCAAUCAGUCUAUGCACACACAAAUUCUUGCUCUUCAAGCAACCCUCAAAGAAUGAUCACCUCGGUCUUCU
Molecule: long non-coding RNA, 459 nt
Filed under: Vigna radiata
Lineage: Eukaryota; Viridiplantae; Streptophyta; Magnoliopsida; Fabales; Fabaceae
Description: long non-coding RNA (VRAD_LNC002191)
Source: RNAcentral